This 20-nucleotide ribosomal RNA is filed under the name Colletotrichum truncatum. Its description in RNAcentral is "partial 18S ribosomal RNA". Lineage: Eukaryota; Fungi; Ascomycota; Sordariomycetes; Glomerellales; Glomerellaceae. The record is from RNAcentral.
CGGAAAGGAAAAUUCCUUGA